UUCUUUUUGCAAAAAGUUACAGAAUCAACCUUCUCUUUUCCUCAGCCUCUUGCUCACAAGUUUGCCUAGUAUUCCUCCCUCAAAGAAAUAAAAAAAGAAAAAGAAAAAAAGAGAAACAUACGUAAAAAUUACAAAAUAAAACACAACAUUAUAAAACACCUCUAAUGAUCAAUCAGUUAAUCAAAACCCUCCCUAGCUCCACUUAGCCUGACAUCUUUCUCUUCUUAUUUAUUUAUUUAUUUUGGGGGGGUAUAUAGUAGGUGUGUAUAUUUAUGGGGUACAUGAAAUGUUUUGAUACUGGCAUGCAAUGUGUAAUAAUCUAAUCAUGGAAAAUAAGGCACCCAUCCCCUCAAGCAUUUGUCCUUUGUGUUACAAUCCAAUUAUACUUGUUUAGUUAUUUUAAAACAUACAGUUAAAUUAUUAUUGAUUAUUGUCACUUUCCUGAGUUACUUCACUUAGAAUAAUAGUCUCCAGUCUCAUCCAGGUCACUGCAAAUGCUAUUAAUUCAUUCCUUUUUAUGUCUGUGUAGUAUUCCAUUAUAUAUAUACCACAGUUUCUUUAUCCACUUGUUGAUCAAUGGGCAUUUGGGUUGUUUCCACAAUUUUGCAAUCGUGAAUUGUGCUGCUAUAAACGUGUGUGCAAGUAUCUUUUUCUAAUAAUGACUUACUGCUUUGGAAACUUCUUUUAGCCAUGGGUAAACACAGUUUAAACAGAGGUACAAUAUGUAAAACAGACCCAUGGGGACCUGCUUUGGAUGAAGAGAGAGGGCAUUUGUUGGGCAUGGAACAGGGAACUUGGAGCUCCACUGGAUGGCUUCUCACCAAUACCCAUUCCUUGCUCAGAGAGCAGAGUCUGAAAAAUGCCAGGUCAGCUACCACGUUUUUAUUCCCUUUUUUAGUCUCUAUGUCACAUAGCUGCCCAUCUGCAGCGUCUAUCCAUCAGCAGUCCUUGAUGCCACAUUAAGACAUUUUAUCCUGGGAUCCGAUUAUUUAAAUCAAAGGAUUUUACAAAAUUCCUAACCUGUAUCAUUGGAAUAUAUCCUUGCCUUAUUCCUUAUUAUGUACAUUAUCGGACUGUAAACAAAAAAAAGAAUAUCUUUUUUCUGAGAAAGGGAGAAUCUGCUGGGAGGCAGUCUCAACAGGAUUUAGGAAAUAAAUAACAUAUAAAUUAAUCACAUGAUACAUAAACAAAAAGCAUGGUUCCUAAAAUGAAAUUGGUAGUCAAUGUUGGAAUGUCAAAUAAAAACAACUGACUGUAUCAUUGCCUUAGUAAUAAAAAUUUUCUUGAUUAAAGAAAAAAAGCUGAAGCCAAUUCAGGUUUUAAAAAAAGCAUAUUGAAGAAACAUAUAUAUAGAAGAAGUAAUGCACAGUUGACCUACAAAGAAA
Molecule: long non-coding RNA, 1385 nt
Filed under: Homo sapiens (human)
Lineage: Eukaryota; Metazoa; Chordata; Mammalia; Primates; Hominidae
Description: non-protein coding lnc-SGK1-7:1
Source: RNAcentral